AACUUGUAACUCAUUAAGUUGUAGAUGUUAUCCAAGUUUGGCUGAUGUUCCCUUUGAUAUACAUAUAGGUGGAGUUGAUCUAACUUGUAACUCAUUAUUAUAUAAUAAGUUGUAGAUGUUAUCCAAGUUUGGCUGAUCUAACUUGUAACUCAUUAAGUUGUAGAUGUUAUCCAAGUUUGGUUGAUGUUCCCUUUGAUAUAGGUGGAGUUGAUCUAACUUGUAACUCAUUAAGUUGUAUAUGUUAUCCAAGUUUGACUGAUGUUCCCUUUGAUAUUAGGUGGAGUUGAUCUAACUUGUAACUCAUUAAGUUGUAUAUGUUAUCCAAGUUUGACUUAUGUUACCUUUGAUAUAGGUGGAGUUGAUCUAACUUGUAACUCAUUAAGUUGUAGAUGUUAUCCAAGUUUGGCUGAUGUUACCUUUUAUAUUCAGGUAGAAUUAAUCUAACUUUAAGCUGUAAACGUUAUCCAACCUAGGGCAAUAUUCUAGUAAUUAAUGGAGCAACUCUAUAGCUAGCUCAUUCACAUUUCGGUUUAAUAUAUACAUGACAGGGCAGUCAAAUUGAGCAAUUAUCGUGUAAUUUCAUAGGACAUAUUGUAGUUUACAUUGCACUCUCCCUUUAUUCUGUUUCUUAGGAAAAGUGACAAUACAAACAUAAUACAAAAUUACUCUGUACAUAUGUAUACACAUGUCAACAUUGUUAUUCGACAAACAUCCAAAAAUUUCCUUUUUCUUCUCAUACAAGACUGUACAGGGUGACAACAUUCUUGACUUAUAUACAAUGUAUGUCUACAAUUGAUGAACGGAAUGCUAGUUUAUGACAAGGUAUUUUUUCACUUUGAAUCAUGAGAAGUAUUCAUUUAGAUAGAGCCUUCAAUAAUACUAGAUGUUAAAUGAAGGAAUAUGCUUAUACAUUAC
This is a long non-coding RNA of Branchiostoma floridae (Florida lancelet), 915 nucleotides long. RefSeq lists it as uncharacterized. Lineage: Eukaryota; Metazoa; Chordata; Leptocardii; Amphioxiformes; Branchiostomatidae. The record is from RefSeq and is a predicted model, not a curated record. The transcript is spliced from 2 exons.